Molecule: long non-coding RNA, 3412 nt
Filed under: Equus caballus (horse)
Lineage: Eukaryota; Metazoa; Chordata; Mammalia; Perissodactyla; Equidae
Description: lncRNA (ENSECAG00000046546.1)
Source: RNAcentral
GCUGUGUCUGAAUAUGGAGGGUUAAGUUUCUCAAUGCAGCCUUUCUCCUCUUUCAGCUUCACCAACAGACUGCUUCGUGAAGAGAUGUGUUUUAAAAUAAUUUAAUAUUGCAUACAGCCCCACUUAUUUCUGCCUCUCAAGAUCUCAUGCCGAACUGGGCACAGAGAGAUUCUCUUUCUUAGCCAGCCUUUGUACUUGUUUCUCAUGUUCCGAAGAGAAAUUAUUGGCUUUUCCCUCAGGGCUGCCACUCAGGAGCAAGGUGCUCUGUGAGCUUCGUCUGAGAGCUAAAGGAUGGAGUUGUUCUUCUGAUUCUUGGUCUUGUUAUUUAAUGAUAAUUACUACUGAGGAAAUGGAGAAAAUUCUUCAAUCUCAGCUUUUAAAGGAGAGGAACCCCCAAGGCCUGAAGUGGCAAGGAGAAGAAGUAACUGGAAGAAGAGAACAGAGGCCCGUGUAGAGAGGGCUGCGUAACAGUGACCGUGAUCUUCAGCUGAGCGAUGACAAGAUGAAAUGAAUGAGUGAAGUCACGUCUUUAAGGAGGGUGAAUUAACACGACACCAUUCCCUAAAUUGCUCCUCCAGGAAAGGGGCUUCCUACUGUCUAGAACAUAGUGUGUGUUCAAAACUGUUUGUUUGAGGAGGCGAAUUCCAGGAAUAUGGCAGAGUAGGAAGCACCAGGAAUCCAUCUGCCCACCCAGACAACAAUGGCAGUGCAGAAUCUGUCUGAUGUAACUGUUUUGGAACUCUGGAAUCAACUGAAGGCUCGCAACUUCCACAGCGUGGCCUGGACAAUGAGUUGUAGUUCAUUCCAGUCAAUCUUAGCUCUUAGUUUAGCAGCAGCUGCCCAUAGUACACCUCCAGCCCUGUGGUGGGCAACUGUGCAUGUGUUCCUGAAGCAGUUUCCACACAGUUAAAUGGAGUCAUAGUGAGCAGUAAGGACUCUGUCCUCCAAAUAUUGAGGAUCUGUGCUCUGACUGUUGAUGGCUGCUUUUGCUUAGGGAGGUUCACACAUAGAGUUGUGCAGCCAUUCUGGAGCCCACUCGUUGUAAGCCCCUCCUCUUUCAACUGAAGUGACUUCCAGGGGAUUUAAAGGGCUAGUGCCCUGACCUCCUUAUUCAUUUUUUUCUUUUUCCUCUUUUGGAAGAUAGACAUUAAAGACUAGAACAUCCAAAAGCAACUGCAUUUAAAGGGGAACAUAGAAAGUCACUGUGCAUGCCAGGGAAAGGAGCAGGCCAGAAAAGACCUGAGAAGACCUUCAGUUUACACCUCAGGCUGUUGCUCAGCAUGGAGACAGCCUACAUCAAUCAAGAAAACAAAGAUAAAAAAACAAAAACAGAAAACUGCGCGGAAGGGGAAAAACUGAUUUUCAGAGUUGUCACAUUGUUAGAUUCAGAUGUCCAAUUUUCAACAAAAAAUCAGAAGGCAUACAAAAAAACCCAGGAAGGUAGGGCUCAUUAAAAAGAAAAAAGUAAACCAAUAGAAACUGACCCUGAGAAAGAACAGAUGGCAGAUCUAGUAGACAAAGAUUUCAAACUGUCUUAAAGAUGAUCAAAGAACUAAAGGAAGAUGAGAGAAAGUCGAGAAAAUAAUAUGUGAGCAAAAUGGAAAUAUUAAAAAGAGAUAGAAAAACCUAAAAAGAAACCAAAAAUAAAUUAGCUGAAAAUUGCAAUAAUUGAAAUGAAAAGUUUACUAGAGGGAUUCAGAGGCGGAUUUGAGCAGAUAAAAGAAAGAAUCUGCAGAUCUGAAGAUAGGAUUGAAAUUGUUGAGUCUGAGCAACCUCAAGAAAUAUGAUUGAAGAAAAGCAAACGGAGUCCAAGGAACUCAUGGGGCCCAUCAAGUGGACACUUCAUGCAUUGUGGGGAUCCCAGGAAGGGAAGAGAAAAAGAAAAGGGCAGAGAAGUUAUUUGAAGAAAUAAUGGCCAAAACCUCCCCAAAUUUGAUGAACAACAUGAGCAUAAACAUCUAAAAGCUCAACGAAAUCUAAGUACAAUGAACUCAAAGAGAUUCUCACUGAGACAUAUAAUCGAACUGCUGAAAGACAAAGCAGAGAGAAUCUAGAAAGCAACAAGAGAGAAGUGAUUAAUCACAUAUGAGGGAUCCUCAAUGAGAAUGUUAGCAAAUUUCUCAUCAGAAAGUUUAGAGGCCAGAAGGCAGUGGACUGAUAUAUUCAAAGUGCUAAAAGAAAAAAAAUAAAACUGUUAACUCAAGAAUCCUAUAUGUGGCAAAACUUGAUAUAGUUUUGAAAAGUGAGGAGAAAUUAAGAUAUUUUGAGAUAAACAAAAGCUGAGUGAGUUCAUUACCAUUAGACCUGCUCUUUAAGAAAUCCUAAAGGGAGUUCUUUAGGUUGAAGUAAAAGGACACUAGACAGUAAAUCAAAGCCAUAUGAAUAAAUAAUGAUUCCAGUACUCCACUUUUUUUCUACAUGAUUUGAGACAUACGUUUUUUAAAAAAAAACAAUUAUUAGUGUAAAAGCUAGUAUUAUUCUAACUCCACAUUUUUAUUUCUACAUAGUUUAAGAGACUAAUGAAAUAAAAACAAUUUUAAGUUUAUGUUUUUGGACACACAAUGUACAAAGGUGUAAUUUUUGACAUAAAUAAAUGAAAGGGGGGACAAAGCUGUAUAUGAGCAGAGUUUUUGUAUAUUAUUGAAGUUAAACUGGUAUAAAUUCAAAAUACAGUACUGUAACUCUAGGAUAUUAAAUGUAAUAUCCAUGGCAACCACAAAGAAAAUACUUAUUGAAUACAACAAAACAUUUCACUGCAAAAAAUCAAUGAAACACAAAAGAUACGAUAUUAUAGGAAACAAAAAAAGCUAUAAGGCAUAUAGAACAAAACAGCAAAAUGACAGAAUUUAAACUUGCCUUAUCAGUAAUUACUUUAAAUGUUAAUGGGUUAAACUCUCCAAUAAAAAGAGAGAUGAGCAGAAUGGAUAAAAAACAUGAUUCAGGGGGCUGGCCCCAUGGCCGAGUGGUUAAGUUCGCACGCUCUGCUGCAGGUGGCCCAGUGUUUUGUCGGUUCGAAUCCUGGGCAUGGAUGUGGUACCGCUCAUCAAGCCAUGCUGAGGCGGUAUCCCACAUGCCACAACUAGAAAGACCCACAACUAAGAAUAUACAACUAUGCACUGCGAGGCUUAAAAAAAAAACAUGAUUCAGCUAUGUGCUGUCUACUAGAGACUUAUUUUAGAUUCAAAACCAGAAAUAGGUUGAAACGUUGGAAAGGCUGGAAAACAUAUUCCAUGCAAAUAGUAACCAAAAGAGAGCGGAGGUGGCUAUACUAGUAUCAGGCAAAAUAGGUUUAAGAUGGAAAGUGUUAAUGAGAGACAAACAAGGAUAAUAUAUAUUAAUAAAAGUUUUAAUACAGCAAGACUAUAUAACAAUGAUAAAAUUUUAUGCUCCUAAUAACAGACCAUCAAAAUAU